AGAGUUUGAUCAUGGCUCAGGAUGAACGCUGGCGGCGUGCCUAAUACAUGCAAGUCGAACGAGGUGCUUUUGUAGCAAUACGAGAGUAUCCUAGUGGCGAACGGGUGAGUAACGCGUUGGUGACCUACCCCAAAGUGUGGGAUAACAGUCCGAAAGGAUUGCUAAUACCGCAUGUGGUUAUCGAGUUUAGAAAUUGAUAACUAAAGGAGCAAUUCGCUUUGGGAGGGACCUGCGUCCCAUCAGCUAGUUGGUGAGGUAAUGGCUCACCAAGGCUACGACGGGUAGGGGACCUGAGAGGGUGACCCCCCACAAUGGAACUGAAACACGGUCCAUACACCUACGGGUGGCAGCAGUAGGGAAUAUUGCACAAUGGGCGAAAGCCUGAUGCAGCAACGCCGCGUGUGCGAUGAAGGCCUUCGGGUCGUAAAGCACUUUUCUGGGAGAUGAGAAAGGACAGUAUCCCAGGAAUAAGUCUCGGCUAACUACGUGCCAGCAGCCGCGGUAAAACGUAGGAGGCGAGCGUUAUCCGGAUUCACUGGGCGUAAAGCGCGUGCAGGUGGCUUGGUAAGUUAGGCGUGAAAUCUCCCGGCUCAACUGGGAGAGGUCGUCUAAUACUACCGGGCUAGAGAGCAGAAGAGGAAGAUGGAAUUCCCGGUGUAGUGGUGAAAUGCGUAGAUAUCGGGAGGAACACCAGUGGCGAAGGCGAUCUUCUGGUCUGUUUCUGACACUCAGACGCGACAGCUAGGGUAGUAAACGGGAUUAGAGACCCCGGUAAUCCUAGCCGUAAACGAUGUGAACUUGGCGUUGGUGGGUUAAACUCCAUCAGUGCCGUAGCAAACGCGAUAAGUUCACCGCCUGGGGACUACGGCCGCAAGGUUAAACUCAAGGAAUUGACGG
Molecule: ribosomal RNA, 897 nt
Filed under: uncultured bacterium
Lineage: Bacteria
Description: bacterial SSU rRNA
Rfam family: Bacterial small subunit ribosomal RNA
Source: RNAcentral